Molecule: transfer-messenger RNA, 369 nt
Filed under: Solirubrobacterales bacterium
Lineage: Bacteria; Bacillati; Actinomycetota; Thermoleophilia; Solirubrobacterales
Rfam family: transfer-messenger RNA
About the family: Bacterial tmRNA, also known as 10Sa RNA or SsrA, is named for its dual tRNA and mRNA-like properties. Its role is to liberate the mRNA from a stalled ribosome.
Source: RNAcentral
GGGGGCGAACCAGAUUCGACGUGAACGGUGUCGUCCCGGUGUUGCGAGUCGAGGAUCCUGGGUUGGCCUCGUUAAACCCCCCGGGAAAACCAAUAAGUGCGGACUCUCACGAGUUCGCUCUCGCUGCUUAAUAGGUAGUUGAGAGCAGUCGCUCCGGAUGGCCCAUGAUCCGGGUAGCGGCUUCAACAGUGGGCUAACCCACCGGCAGUUUCCUCGGUCGGCUGGGGACAUCAACAGGAGGAUUUGGCGCCGGCAACGUGCCCCUCGGAUUGACCGAGCCGGAGGCCGAGAUUGACUCCGCAGGGAACACUCGUUGACGCAUCGGGUCGUCCUUCGCGGACGCCGGGGCAGUACCGGCCGCCUCCACUA